UGUGUGUGUGUGUGUGUGUGUGUGUGU
Molecule: non-coding RNA, 27 nt
Filed under: Mus musculus (house mouse)
Lineage: Eukaryota; Metazoa; Chordata; Mammalia; Rodentia; Muridae
Also listed under: 1 other name
Source: RNAcentral